UACGUAGGGGGCGAACGUUGUCCGGAUUUACUGGGUGUAAAGGGUGCUCAGGCGGUCUUGUAAGUCAGAGGUGAAAUCUCAAGGCUUACGCUUGAAACUGCCUUUGAUACUGCUGGGCUUGAGUACGGAAGAGGCGGAUGGAAUUCCUGGUGUAGCAGUGAAAUGCGUAGAUAUCAGGAGGAACACCGGUGGCGAAGGCGGUCCGCUGGGCCGUUACUGACGCUAAAGCACGAAAGCGUGGGGAGCAAACAGG
RNAcentral lists this ribosomal RNA (253 nucleotides) under uncultured bacterium. Its description in RNAcentral is "partial 16S ribosomal RNA". It matches the Rfam family "Bacterial small subunit ribosomal RNA", at positions 524 to 776 of the family's 1533-position model. The record is from RNAcentral.